CAACAGUGGCAGAUUCACAGGGCAACAAGAUCAUCCCAGUGCCUAUCAACCAAGUGAUUGUGGCUCAACCUCUUGCCCAGUCUAGAAAUAGGAAGCCAAUCAUUUGUCAAGUUCAGUGACACCAGACUUCCACAUAUUACCCCACUGCAGUAUGUGCUACAGACAGAUGCACCCCGGUGACUAAACACUCUGCUCGGAGACGUCUAGCUUGGGAUCAGUCUUGUCAUAUCAGAUGAAAUCACGUGCAGUAUCAACUAC
Molecule: long non-coding RNA, 258 nt
Organism: Haliotis rubra (blacklip abalone)
Lineage: Eukaryota; Metazoa; Mollusca; Gastropoda; Lepetellida; Haliotidae
Exons: 3
Source: RefSeq, a predicted model, not a curated record